RNAcentral lists this long non-coding RNA (3756 nucleotides) under Marmota monax (woodchuck). Lineage: Eukaryota; Metazoa; Chordata; Mammalia; Rodentia; Sciuridae. The record is from RNAcentral.
CCUCUAUGGUAGUAGAUGCUUCAGUAAUAGAGUUGCCUCAAUCAGAGAGGAUCGUGACCCAUUCCACAACCACAGAUGCCACAGAGAAGUCCUCAGCAGAGGAGUGUGUCACUCUAGAGCCGUGGAUAAGUCCCUCUCCCUUCAGGUUGAAGGACCUUCUUCCAGGUAAGAGUGGCUCACAGAUGACACACAGACACCAAGCUGCCGAGGUGGCAAUGUAAUGGUGAGUACAGUCCUCUAUACCCGCUAACAGGGAAGGCACUGAUCACUUUGCGUUUUGUCCUUCAAACCAAGAACCAAAGUCUGCAAAAAGAGACAAGUAUUAAAACCCAGAAGAGCCAAUAAUCCUCCCCAGAAUUGGUGAUCUCUUGUAGAAGGGUAAUGGUUAAAAAGAAAAAGAUAAACCACAGUAGCCUCAAUAUAAGUGUUGACCUUCAUGUCUCUGGGUGCUUGUAACUGAGAAACAGAACUGUGAUCCCCCAGGAAUUAUAGAUUACAGGUAGUUUCCUUUCUGGUCUAUUUAUUUUUCUCUCUUUCUCUCUAGCUUUUCUGCCUCUUUUUCUCCACUGCCCUCUUUGUCCACGACUGAUGAUUAGUUCAGAGAGAGAGUAAUGUGUAGGAACCCAUAUGUGAUUUUUUCCCCUACUUUCUUUCAUGCUAAUCCAUUCCUCUCUCAUACCUGACAGUGACCCACCAGCCAGGAAAGUAGAAGGCUCCCUUCCUGGGAUGCUGCAUGUGACUCUCAUGUUUGCUAGAGGAUCAUCUGAUGGAUGUAACUUUAUCAGCUACCCCAGAAAGGCUAUAGCACCUUGACCUUUGCAGGCAUUCAAGAAAUAUUCAUUGAAAUAGAUUAUAAAUUAAACAGUUUUACAAUGCUUUGCAGGAAUAAUGUAAUGUUAUUUGAGCAACUGUCAGUCAGUUCUAUAAUUCUAAGGCACCUGUAAAGAGAUAGUUUCCAAAAGAAAAGAAUGCUUAUGUCACCUACACUUUGUGUUUCCAUGCUGGGAAGUUCCUAGUACAGGAACAAUCUGGCUCUUCCUGGUAUCUGGGGCACAGAAGAAUUGGGACACAUGGGACACUGCUGUUUCUGCAGAGUAUACAUUCUGUUUGUCUCUUGGCCGUAGAGGUAAUAGAGCAGGCCAUCUCUGGCCCUAGUAUGGAGUGGCAGUUGUCCAGGGUGGCCUGUGACCCAGUGAGCAUGUCUUCCUAAUUCAGGGGGAUUGAUGCACUUCCCAAGUUCACAUUUUGUUCCAAGAUUACAUUCUCCAAACAGAAUUAUCACUGGGAACACUGGUAUUUUGGUAUUUCUAAUCUGAAUCCCAUAUCUAUUUCUGAAUUGGUUCUGAGAUCAGGAAAGGGAUAACAUGAUGUUAAAUAUUGACUCACACCUUUAAUAAUAAAGUUCCUUUCAGCUGAAGUUGAGGAAGGUCAUGGGAAUAAUGCUGAUUGGAUUGAGCCUCUUUCUUGACAAAAAUCACACUGGGAUGGAACUCUUGCCCCUCUGCUCCCAACAACUCCCUAGCACAACAGUGUUUCCUAAAGAUGGCAAACCUGGGCCACUGCUGCACAGUGGGCAAUCAGAUUAACCUGUCUGAGUCUGUGUCCUUGGGAUACUUGUUUAACUGGAAUAUUUUCAGUUUAAUGAAUUCUUUGGUAUUAAUUCUCCUACUUUGUUGUUGUUAGCACAAAGAAAACAGAUCAGGACAGGUACUAGUUGGUGAGUGUCUUAGGCCAUUUGUGUUGCUGUAACAAAACAUCUUGGGAUAAAAUUUAUUGUUCAGAAUAAAUUUAUUGCUCACAGGCUGGGAAGUCCAAGAUGAAGGUGCCAGCAGCUUCUGUGUCUGGUAAGACCUUGGUCUCUGCUUCCAAGAUAAAACCUUGAAUGCUGUGUUCUCUGGAGGAGAUGAGUGCUGGGUCCUCGCAUGGCAGAAGAAUCGAAGAUAAAAAACAGUCUCGUUAUUUUCUCAAGACUUUUUAUAAGGGAAUUAAUGCCUGAAGGCAGAGCCUUUAUGAUCUCUUAAAAACCCCAACUGUUAAUACUAGUGGGAUGAAGUUUCAAUAUGAAUUUGGGAGGGAACACAAAAACACUCAAACCAAGACAGUGAGUAUUCUAUCAGUGAAUUGUGAUACUUUUUAUGAUUCACCUCUUUACAUCAGGUGAAAAACACAGAAUUUUCAUAAUAUAUUUUUCAUUCAAUAGAUAUUUAUGCUAUGUCAAUUUAUUCGAGGGCUACUCAAAUAAGGAAAACCAGAUGUAAACUCUGGCUUCUGCAACUUUUACUCAGUAAAAAGAGACUGGCCUGUAGUUUUCAUUUGAUAUGCGUAGGUUACCAACACACAGGUAGAGUUUCAGUGACUCCAAAAGCUUUUGGAAGAGCAGUCACCAUCAUUCCCAUCUCAGUAAAUCCUCCUAGCAUAUUGGUGGGCUAUAUGGCCAGGAUCUACUAUCCACUGAUCCCCUACUUUGGGAACUCCAGGAAUCCUUAUGGUAGACAUGCGGCCAUGAUGGAUGGAAUGAUGUAUCCACUGCAAACUGAGCAUGCAGCUUUCUUGUCUAAAAUAAUAUCAUGUUUGAAAAGUUGUGGAUUUUAUGUUUUUUCUGAUCACAGUGUCACUUCCAAUGCACUAGGAAUAACUCACCAAAGGCUUAGCACACCUCUUGAUGUUUUUGAGCUGUAUGUGCUUUACAAAUACAAUGAUUACAACCUGAGGCUCUCAUAUUACUCACUGUUGUCUAUUAAAAUACAAUGGAUAGCAGAAUGUAAGAUUUCAACAUGUUUGUACUCUUUUUACCUGGUGUGGCAGUAGAAGCAAGGAAGGAUUCACAAUUUUAGUUUUGAUAUUCGGGGAAAAGUGAGGAUUCAGCAAAUAAUGUCUCAGCCAAAUUGACUUAAUUGCUUUUUUUUUUUCAGAUGCAGUGAUAUUCACAGUGAAGAAAUUAAAUGUCUUAUAAGAAAAUCAAUAUUAACAAGAUUUUUUUUUAUUCAAAAGUGGGCUGGGGCCUUAUAUCCACAGCAAUAGAAGAGUCUUAUAUGAAUCUUAAAGAUCCCAGAUUGAGAUCCUGGCAUUUGCAGUCAGAUUGGCAUGAAUUUGAAUACCACCUCUCCUGUUUGCUUGGGACUAAGAAAAGCUGUUUCACCUCAUCUGCAAAAUGGAGAUGAUAAUGUCUAGCUUGUAGUCUGUUAUAGUUGUUCCUGAGGUGCAAAUAUAUUAGUUUGUGAGCAUAGUACCUGGCCUGACAUAUGUUCUCAUGGAAUGGGACUAAUUAAAGGUAGCCCAAACAUACAUCAUGGGAUCUACAAUCCCCUAAGAAUAGAGGCCCAAUUUUCCCCAUUAGCACAGAACAGACUCUGAAAUCAUCAGCCAUGGGAAACUUAGGAUAGAGAAACAAAUGGGAGAGGUAGAGUAGAGAGGAAAAGAACAGGUAACAUAGACAUUCUCUGAGUUCCCUGGCUUAGCCUGAGAGGCCUUUUCCCAUAACGUUGGUAUAAGAAACCCUGGCCAAUUAGACCAUCAGUACCCACAGAAGGGUCUGGGCUACAUCACAGUUCUCAUUUACAAGCUCACAGUCACCAAUCCCCGCUUAAGAUGUCAGUGUUGUUAAGUGGGUGUUCUGUGAAGAAACUCUCAAGCAAAUGAUGCUUUUAGGAGAAGCAAAAAGUUCUUUGAAUAAUCAGCCACUGUAAUAAGGAGGUGAGGGGGUGUUGCAAGUUGCUUGCAAAGUGACAAUAAAUACGAACUUUCCAAACCACUCAU